AGUCAAGUAAUCAAGUUGUGAAUGUAAAUUAAUGUUAAAGAUCACUACAUAUAUAAAACAUAAAGCUCUAAAGUGGAAAACUCUAGUAUGAACUUGUUAAAUAUUGGAUAAAAUGGGGAUAACCAAUUUUGUCAAAAUAUGUGUGGAAGUUGUGUAACAAAGGUCAUAUUAAUUAAUUGUUGCUAUACAAGAUGAAAGGUCUCUUUGUUUUAAAAUUUGUGUAUCUAUUGGAAGUAAUACUGUUUGGUGAAAUUUCUUAUGAUGACGAAGACAUAGAGAAGCAGGUGAAACACUUUCUAAAGACAAAGUCGAAUCUUGAACAAAGGAUAUUGUGCUAUGAUGCACCAACUGAUAAGAUGUUACCAUUAGAAGUUACUUUUAUUCGCCUAUGAAUUUUAAAUUCAUUCUUAAACUCAUGAAAAGCCUUUUUUAGUCUGGAUGACACAAGUGUUUUUAGGAGAAACAAACGUUUUGUAAAACUUCAAACGUGGAAAAUGAAACAAAUGUGGAAAAUCAUCUCAUUUUCAGAUUAAAUGACAAAAGCUUUCAUGUCUGUGAAGUCAAGUAAUCAAGUUGUGAAUGUAAAUUAGUGUUACAGAUCACUACAUUUAUAAAACAUAAAGCUCUAAAGUGGAAAACUCUAGUAUGAACUUGUUAAAUAUUGGGUAAAAUGGGGAUAACCAAUUUUGUCAAAAUGUGUGUGGAAGUGGUGUAACAAAGGUCAUAUUAAUUAAU
Molecule: small RNA, 735 nt
Filed under: Arabidopsis thaliana (thale cress)
Lineage: Eukaryota; Viridiplantae; Streptophyta; Magnoliopsida; Brassicales; Brassicaceae
Description: ATSL194900
Source: RNAcentral